This 468-nucleotide ribosomal RNA is filed under the name uncultured bacterium. RNAcentral's name for it is "partial 16S ribosomal RNA". It matches the Rfam family "Bacterial small subunit ribosomal RNA", at positions 28 to 507 of the family's 1533-position model. The record is from RNAcentral.
GACGAACGCUGGCGGCGUGCUUAACACAUGCAAGUCGAACGGAAAGGCCCUGCUUUUGUGGGGUGCUCGAUUGGCGAACGGGUGAGUAACACGUGAGUAACCUGCCCUUGACUUUGUGAUAACUUCAGGAAACUGGGGCUAAUACCGGAUAUGAGCUCCUGCUGCAUGGUGGGGGUUGGUAAGUUUCGGCGGUUGGGGAUGGACUCGCGGCUUAUCAGCUUGUUGGUGGGGUAGUGGCUUACCAAGGCUUUGACGGGUAGCCGGCCUGAGCGGGUGACCGGCCACAUUGGGACUGAGAUACGGCCCAGACUCCUACGGGAGGCAGCAGUGGGGAAUAUUGCACAAUGGGCGGAAGCCUGAUGCAGCAACGCCGCGUGCGGGAUGACGGCCUUCGGGUUGUAAACCGCUUUCGCCUGUGACGAGGCGUGAGUGACGGUAAUGGGUAAAGAAGCACCGGCUAACUACGUG